GACGAACGCUGGCGGCGUGCCUAAUACAUGCAAGUUGAGCGCUGAAGGUUGGUACUUGUACCAACUGGAUGAGCAGCGAACGGGUGAGUAACGCGUGGGGAAUCUGCCUUUGAGCGGGGGACAACAUUUGGAAACGAAUGCUAAUACCGCAUAAAAACUUUAAACACAAGUUUUAAGUUUGAAAGAUGCAAUUGCAUCACUCAAAGAUGAUCCCGCGUUGUAUUAGCUAGUUGGUGAGGUAAAGGCUCACCAAGGCGAUGAUACAUAGCCGACCUGAGAGGGUGAACGGCCACAGUGGGAAUGAGACACGGCCCAAACUCCUACGGGAGGCAGCAGUAGGGAAGCUUCGGCAAUGGACGAAAGUCUGACCGAGCAACGCCGCGUGAGUGAAGAAGGUUGUCGGAUCGUAAAACUCUGUUGGUAGAGAAGAACGUUGGUGAGAGUGGAAAGCUCAUCAAGUGACGGUAACUACCCAGAAAGGGACGGCUAACUACGUG
RNAcentral lists this ribosomal RNA (497 nucleotides) under uncultured bacterium. RNAcentral's name for it is "partial 16S ribosomal RNA". It matches the Rfam family "Bacterial small subunit ribosomal RNA", at positions 28 to 507 of the family's 1533-position model. The record is from RNAcentral.